RNAcentral lists this small RNA (296 nucleotides) under Hirsutella minnesotensis 3608. Its description in RNAcentral is "5' ureB small RNA". It matches the Rfam family "5' ureB small RNA". Lineage: Eukaryota; Fungi; Ascomycota; Sordariomycetes; Hypocreales; Ophiocordycipitaceae. The record is from Rfam by way of RNAcentral.
CUCUGUCGCUUGCUGUGGGCAUAUAAAGUGAAUGUGCGUGUCAACACCCCCGGCCGUGAUGAUUUUACCCUCGCCAGCCACGACGUCGGUACAGCUCCCCACAACCAUGUUGGAAGUCACGCCAUCCAUAACGUCGGGACUGCCCGCCUUGCCGAUGCCGACAAUGAUGCCAUCUUUAACGCCAAUAUCAGCCUUGUAUAUGCCUGUCCAGUCGACAAUGAGCGCAUUCGUUACCACUAGGUCGAGCGUUUCGGCGUCGGACCGGCCCGUUGCCUGGCCCAUACCCUCUCUAAGAG